CACAGCUCCUCAGCCACCGCCUCCCUCCGCCGCGGGUCGUUCACUACGCAGCUCUGCCGCGCGUACGACCCCUCAAUCUCGAACGCCGAGUCGCCGCCGCCGCCGCCGCCGCCGCCGAAGCGGGUCACGUGCGCUAGGGCUUUGGAGUCGCGGAGGUUCAUGUGCCGCUUCACGGAGUAGAGAGGGCGAAUCGUCUCUUCCCCGUCGUAGAUCACCCAAACUCAGCUUCUGCAUCGCAAAAUCCAUAGGGAUCGGGAAUUUUGCUUUAUGAGAUGUUAUAUGGGCGCACAUCUUUUCGAGGAAAGAAUAGAAAAAGGACAUUUUCCAACAUUUUGCACAAGGACCUCACAUUUCCAAGCAGCAUUCCGAUGAGAAACUUGCCGCUGAAUCAAUUUUCAUUUUAGUGGUAGAAGUGCACAGAGGGUGAAAAAAACUGAUUCAUAAUCUAGCACUAGUAGUGCCAGGUUAGCCUAGCAGCAAGGCAACUAAUCCAUGGAUUACUCCAUAGAGACCCUGCUAAUCGUUUGGGAUCAAGUUCUGGAGCAAAUGAGAUCAAGCAACAUCCUUUCUUCAGUGACAUCAACUGGCCACUUAUUCGCUGCAUGGUAUACGAACGUGUUGGCGAAGUCGGUUCGGCUAUUCGUCGAGCCUACGCGAAGAUAUUGAA
This is a long non-coding RNA of Ananas comosus (pineapple), 667 nucleotides long. RefSeq lists it as uncharacterized. The record is from RefSeq and is a predicted model, not a curated record. The transcript is spliced from 4 exons. Lineage: Eukaryota; Viridiplantae; Streptophyta; Magnoliopsida; Poales; Bromeliaceae.